RNAcentral lists this small RNA (148 nucleotides) under Macaca fascicularis (crab-eating macaque). RNAcentral's name for it is "Metazoan signal recognition particle RNA (ENSMFAG00000061287.1)". It matches the Rfam family "Metazoan signal recognition particle RNA". From Rfam's summary of the family: The signal recognition particle (SRP) is a universally conserved ribonucleoprotein. It is involved in the co-translational targeting of proteins to membranes. RNAcentral also lists the same sequence under 1 other name. Lineage: Eukaryota; Metazoa; Chordata; Mammalia; Primates; Cercopithecidae. The record is from Rfam by way of RNAcentral.
GCCAGGUGUGGUGGCGCACACCUGUAAUCCCGGCUACUUGGGAGGCUGAGGCAGGAGAAUUGCUUGAACCUGGGAGGCCGAGGUUGCAGUGAGCUUAUUUCAUACCACAGCACUCCGGCCUGGGCAACAGAGCAAGACUCUGCCUCAA